GAUGAACGCUCGCUACAGGCUUAACACAUGCAAGUCGAGGGGAAACGGCAUUGAGUGCUUGCACUCUUUGGACGUCGACCGGCGCACGGGUGAGUAACGCGUAUCCAACCUUCCCAUUACUGUGGGAUAACCUGCCGAAAGGCAGACUAAUACCGCAUAGUCUUCGAUGACGGCAUCAGAUUUGAAGUAAAGAUUUAUCGGUAAUGGAUGGGGAUGCGCCUGAUUAGCUUGUUGGCGGGGUAACGGCCCACCAAGGCUACGAUCAGUAGGGGUUCUGAGAGGAAGGUCCCCCACAUUGGAACUGAGACACGGUCCAAACUCCUACGGGAGGCAGCAGUGAGGAAUAUUGGUCAAUGGACGGAAGUCUGAACCAGCCAAGUAGCGUGCAGGAUGACGGCCCUAUGGGUUGUAAACUGCUUUUGUAUGGGGAUAAAGUUAGGGACGUGUCCCUAUUUGCAGGUACCAGACGAAUAAGGACCGGCUAAUUCCGUG
This 492-nucleotide ribosomal RNA is filed under the name uncultured bacterium. RNAcentral's name for it is "partial 16S ribosomal RNA". It matches the Rfam family "Bacterial small subunit ribosomal RNA", at positions 28 to 507 of the family's 1533-position model. The record is from RNAcentral.